GGAGGGAUGGGUGAGUGGCUGAAACCAACGGUUUGCUAAACCGUCCUAGGGGGUUAACCCUUAGCGCGGGUUCGAAUCCCGCUCCCUCCG
Non-coding RNA from Magnetospirillum sp. 64-120, 90 nucleotides. The record is from Rfam. Lineage: Bacteria; Pseudomonadati; Pseudomonadota; Alphaproteobacteria; Rhodospirillales; Rhodospirillaceae.